Molecule: ribosomal RNA, 253 nt
Filed under: uncultured bacterium
Lineage: Bacteria
Description: partial 16S ribosomal RNA
Rfam family: Bacterial small subunit ribosomal RNA
Source: RNAcentral
UACGGAGGGUGCAAGCGUUAAUCGGAAUUACUGGGCGUAAAGCGCACGCAGGCGGUUUUUUAAGUUAGAUGUGAAAUCCCCGGGCUCAACCUGGGAAUAGCAUUUCAAACUGGGAGGCUAGAGUCCUUUAGGGAGGGGUAGAAUUCCACGUGUAGCGGUGAAAUGCGUAGAGAUCUGGAGGAAUACCGAAGGCGAAGGCGGCCCCUUGGACAUAUACUGACGCUCAUGUGCGAAAGCGUGGGGAGCAAACAGG